GAACGCGUUUGUGGUAGUUGCGUGGGUGCCAAAGUCAAUCGAGAGCCGGAAUAGAUGCGUGCGAUGCUACCCUUUUCCCAGGCCACUACCUUUACGGCGGAGCCCAACCCCUGCCAAGUUUGCACGUCACCCGUACCUUUGCAAGCUUCCCCUUCUCCUAGCUGCGGCGUCCAUGUUGCUCUCCCUCCACUUACCGCAGUUCUAUGGUGCGUAGUUUAUGUCACUGGGGCCACAGAAGUGAGUCCAACCGCUAAAACGCGCACGCCACGGCUACUACGAUGUCCGCCGACGCCGCUUUUGCUAUCUCAACCGAUUCCGCUUUUACCUUCUUCACCGAUUUUUAUCUGCCUCAAUUCAAUAUGGAUGGAUGAACCCGAAAUUUUUUUUCACUAUGGAUGAUCCGGCACACCCGGUUUACAAAGGGCCAAAGGGUCAACAACGUACCUCACGCAGGUCAGGCACCUGAUUCUUUUUUUCCUCUUUUUGCAAUGAUUUUUUUCUCUUUUUGUUCUUGCAUCCCUUUAAAAGAUGGCGACGUUCGAAAAUUAAGCAGGCAUCUGAUUAGGUCGAUGCCACAUUGGAAAAUAUGGUUUCUUUACCCUUCC
This 605-nucleotide ribosomal RNA is filed under the name Triticum aestivum (bread wheat). RNAcentral's name for it is "partial small subunit ribosomal RNA". The record is from RNAcentral. Lineage: Eukaryota; Viridiplantae; Streptophyta; Magnoliopsida; Poales; Poaceae.